CUCAGGACGAACGCUGGCGGCGUGCCUAAUACAUGCAAGUCGAACGCUUCUUUUUCCACCGGAGCUUGCUCCACCGGAAAAAGAGGAGUGGCGAACGGGUGAGUAACACGUGGGUAACCUGCCCAUCAGAAGGGGAUAACACUUGGAAACAGGUGCUAAUACCGUAUAACAAUCAAAACCGCAUGGUUUUGAUUUGAAAGGCGCUUUCGGGUGUCGCUGAUGGAUGGACCCGCGGUGCAUUAGCUAGUUGGUGAGGUAACGGCUCACCAAGGCCACGAUGCAUAGCCGACCUGAGAGGGUGAUCGGCCACAUUGGGACUGAGACACGGCCCAAACUCCUACGGGAGGCAGCAGUAGGGAAUCUUCGGCAAUGGACGAAAGUCUGACCGAGCAACGCCGCGUGAGUGAAGAAGGUUUUCGGAUCGUAAAACUCUGUUGUUAGAGAAGAACAAGGAUGAGAGUAACUGUUCAUCCCUUGACGGUAUCUAACCAGAAAGCCACGGCUAACUACGUGCCAGCAGCCGCGGUAAUACGUAGGUGGCAAGCGUUGUCCGGAUUUAUUGGGCGUAAAGCGAGCGCAGGCGGUUUCUUAAGUCUGAUGUGAAAGCCCCCGGCUCAACCGGGGAGGGUCAUUGGAAACUGGGAGACUUGAGUGCAGAAGAGGAGAGUGGAAUUCCAUGUGUAGCGGUGAAAUGCGUAGAUAUAUGGAGGAACACCAGUGGCGAAGGCGGCUCUCUGGUCUGUAACUGACGCUGAGGCUCGAAAGCGUGGGGAGCAAACAGGAUUAGAUACCCUG
Molecule: ribosomal RNA, 795 nt
Filed under: Enterococcus faecium
Lineage: Bacteria; Bacillati; Bacillota; Bacilli; Lactobacillales; Enterococcaceae
Description: bacterial SSU rRNA
Rfam family: Bacterial small subunit ribosomal RNA
Source: RNAcentral